GACGAACGCUGGCGGCGUGCUUAACACAUGCAAGUCGAACGGAAAGGCCCUGCUUGCAGGGUACUCGAGUGGCGAACGGGUGAGUAACACGUGGGUGAUCUGCCCUGCACUUCGGGAUAAGCCUGGGAAACUGGGUCUAAUACCGGAUAGGAGCCAUUUUUAGUGUGAUGGUUGGAAAGUUUUUUCGGUGUAGGAUGAGCUCGCGGCCUAUCAGCUUGUUGGUGGGGUAAUGGCCUACCAAGGCGGCGACGGGUAGCCGGCCUGAGAGGGUGGACGGCCACAUUGGGACUGAGAUACGGCCCAGACGCCGACGGGAGGCAGCAGUGGGGAAUAUUGCACAAUGGGCGCAAGCCUGAUGCAGCGACGCCGCGUGGGGGAUGACGGCCUUCGGGUUGUAAACUCCGUUCGCUAGGGACGAAGCUUUUUGUGACGGUACCUAGAUAAGAAGCACCGGCUAACUACGUG
Molecule: ribosomal RNA, 465 nt
Filed under: uncultured bacterium
Lineage: Bacteria
Description: partial 16S ribosomal RNA
Rfam family: Bacterial small subunit ribosomal RNA
Source: RNAcentral